CUAUGUGUUGUUGGGUAGGGGAGCGUUCUGUAAGCCUGUGAAGGUGUACUGUGAGGUAUGCUGGAGGUAUCAGAAGUGCGAAUGCUGACAUAAGUAACGAUAAAGCGGGUGAAAAGCCCGCUCGCCGGAAGACCAAGGGUUCCUGUCCAACGUUAAUCGGGGCAGGGUGAGUCGACCCCUAAGGCGAGGCCGAAAGGCGUAGUCGAUGGGAAACAGGUUAAUAUUCCUGUACUUGGUGUUACUGCGAAGGGGGGACGGAGAAGGCUAUGUUGGCCGGGCGACGGUUGUCCCGGUUUAAGCGUGUAGGCUGGUUUUCCAGGCAAAUCCGGAAAAUCAAGGCUGAGGCGUGAUGACGAGGCACUACGGUGCUGAAGCAACAAAUGCCCUGCUUCCAGGAAAAGCCUCUAAGCAUCAGGUAACAUCAAAUCGUACCCCAAACCGACACAGGUGGUCAGGUAGAGAAUACCAAGGCGCUUGAGAGAACUCGGGUGAAGGAACUAGGCAAAAUGGUGCCGUAACUUCGGGAGAAGGCACGCUGAUAUGUAGGUGAAGUCCCUCGCGGAUGGAGCUGAAAUCAGUCGAAGAUACCAGCUGGCUGCAACUGUUUAUUAAAAACACAGCACUGUGCAAACACGAAAGUGGACGUAUACGGUGUGACGCCUGCCCGGUGCCGGAAGGUUAAUUGAUGGGGUUAGCGCAAGCGAAGCUCUUGAUCGAAGCCCCGGUAAACGGCGGCCGUAACUAUAACGGUCCUAAGGUAGCGAAAUUCCUUGUCGGGUAAGUUCCGACCUGCACGAAUGGCGUAAUGAUGGCCAGGCUGUCUCCACCCGAGACUCAGUGAAAUUGAACUCGCUGUGAAGAUGCAGUGUACCCGCGGCAAGACGGAAAGACCCCGUGAACCUUUACUAUAGCUUGACACUGAACAUUGAGCCUUGAUGUGUAGGAUAGGUGGGAGGCUUUGAAGUGUGGACGCCAGUCUGCAUGGAGCCGACCUUGAAAUACCACCCUUUAAUGUUUGAUGUUCUAACGUUGACCCGUGAUCCGGGUUGCGGACAGUGUCUGGUGGGUAGUUUGACUGGGGCGGUCUCCUCCUAAAGAGUAACGGAGGAGCACGAAGGUUGGCUAAUCCUGGUCGGACAUCAGGAGGUUAGUGCAAUGGCAUAAGCCAGCUUGACUGCGAGCGUGACGGCGCGAGCAGGUGCGAAAGCAGGUCAUAGUGAUCCGGUGGUUCUGAAUGGAAGGGCCAUCGCUCAACGGAUAAAAGGUACUCCGGGGAUAACAGGCUGAUACCGCCCAAGAGUUCAUAUCGACGGCGGUGUUUGGCACCUCGAUGUCGGCUCAUCACAUCCUGGGGCUGAAGUAGGUCCCAAGGGUAUGGCUGUUCGCCAUUUAAAGUGGUACGCGAGCUGGGUUUAGAACGUCGUGAGACAGUUCGGUCCCUAUCUGCCGUGGGCGCUGGAGAACUGAGGGGGGCUGCUCCUAGUACGAGAGGACCGGAGUGGACGCAUCACUGGUGUUCGGGUUGUCAUGCCAAUGGCACUGCCCGGUAGCUAAAUGCGGAAGAGAUAAGUGCUGAAAGCAUCUAAGCACGAAACUUGCCCCGAGAUGAGUUCUCCCUGACUCCUUGAGAGUCCUGAAGGAACGUUGAAGACGACGACGUUGAUAGGCCGGGUGUGUAAGCGCAGCGAUGCGUUGAGCUAACCGGUACUAAUGAACCGUGAG
RNAcentral lists this ribosomal RNA (1722 nucleotides) under Escherichia coli. Its description in RNAcentral is "partial 23S ribosomal RNA". It matches the Rfam family "Bacterial large subunit ribosomal RNA", at positions 1214 to 2915 of the family's 2925-position model. Lineage: Bacteria; Pseudomonadati; Pseudomonadota; Gammaproteobacteria; Enterobacterales; Enterobacteriaceae. The record is from RNAcentral.